UGAAGAGACAACCAGGAAGAGUGCAGAAGUUACAUCAGAAGGGGACUGGGGUCCUCAGCAGUGGAAACUACUUCCUGCAACUUUCUGCAAAGUAUACACCUUCCUCGUCUGUCAGCUGCAGAUGACCGUAAGAUGAUGGAUGGCCUCAGAGAAUGCACUUUAGUCUCAGGCAGAAUCUCUUCCUAGACAUAUUUAAUGUCUUGGUCCUCAUCUGGAUCUUCUUGCCCCAUUUCCAAACCCAAAGUGCUGUGUCGAAUAAUCUGCCACCCUGUCAGAGACCUCCUGUUUAAGGGUCUGAGUUUGGGGGUUCUUGAGAUCGGUCCCUUAAUUUUGUCAGUUUUCUCCUCCUUUUCAUCGUCUUUGGAGAAAGCUUUGACAUAACGCUGCAUCUUUUUGAACAUCGGAUCGUUUCUGUCCUCAACCCUGCAAAGAUGAUAGAGUGAAAAGUAGUCAAAUUUCAUGGAAAAUACUCUCACGAUGUACACUUUAAUUGAGAUGUUGAAACUUCCCUAAAGUUUGUGUAAUCAAAGAGGGAACAAAUCAAUAAAUGAACAGUCAAA
Molecule: long non-coding RNA, 560 nt
Organism: Micropterus dolomieu (smallmouth bass)
Lineage: Eukaryota; Metazoa; Chordata; Actinopteri; Centrarchiformes; Centrarchidae
Exons: 3
Source: RefSeq, a predicted model, not a curated record